AGUGGCGAACGGGUGAGUAAUACGUGAGUAACCUGCCCUUGACUCUGGGAUAAGCCUGGGAAACUGGGUCUAAUACUGGAUACUACCUCUUGCCGCAUGGCGGGUGGUGGAAAGGGGUUUUACUGGGUUUUGGAUGGGCUCACGGCCUAUCAGCUUGUUGGUGGGGGUAAUGGCUCACCAAGGCGACGACGGGUAGCCGGCCUGAGAGGGUGACCGGCCACACUGGGACUGAGACACGGCCCAGACUCCUACGGGAGGCAGCAGGC
This 266-nucleotide ribosomal RNA is filed under the name uncultured Kocuria sp. RNAcentral's name for it is "partial 16S ribosomal RNA". It matches the Rfam family "Bacterial small subunit ribosomal RNA", at positions 94 to 354 of the family's 1533-position model. Lineage: Bacteria; Bacillati; Actinomycetota; Actinomycetes; Micrococcales; Micrococcaceae. The record is from RNAcentral.